This 5006-nucleotide long non-coding RNA is filed under the name Sus scrofa (pig). RNAcentral describes it as "lncRNA (ENSSSCG00040016713.1)". The record is from RNAcentral. Lineage: Eukaryota; Metazoa; Chordata; Mammalia; Artiodactyla; Suidae.
AAUGCUGGAUCCUUUAACCUACUGAGCCAGGCCAGGGAUCGAACAUGCACCUCUGCAGGGACCCAAGUCACUGCAGUCAGAUUCUAAACCCACUGCAUCAUAGUGGGAACUCCCCAUGAGUUGCUUUUGAUUGAACUAGAAACUUUUUCUUUCNUUUUUUUUUUUUUUUGUCUUUUUAGGGCUGCUCUUCCUGAUGGAAGUUCCCAGGCUACGGGUUGAAUUGGAGCUAUAGCUCUAGGCGGCCUACACCACAGCCCCUGCAACUGGAGAUCUGAGCCACAUCUGCGACCUACACCACAGCUCAUAGCAACGCCAGAUCCUUAAGCCACUGAGCGAGGGAUGGAGCCCUUUGUCCUCAUGGAUACUUGUUGGGUUUGUUUACCGCUGACCCAUGACAGGAACUCCCCACAGACUUUUUCUUAAGACCAAAACAAACAAACAAAAAAUACCCCCAACUUUAAAACCUUGAAUACUCAUUUAAAACCUUGAAUCCUCAUUUAAAACCUUGAAUCCUCAUUUUGAAGAAAAGAGGCACAAAUAAUAGAAAAUCAGAUUUAGGAUACAUUCUACUUACUCAAUGGGUGAUAUUUUAGGGACUUUACCACACUGUAACUCCCUUUCUUUAGUUAUAAGAUGGGAAUAAUGCUAAUAGUGCCACCCAUUAGGCCUGUAGUGAGGGUUAAAUGAGAUAAUGCAUGUAAAGUACUUGAUAAUGGCUGACUCUAAGUAGUCAAUAAGUAAUUUCCAUUAUUGCUAUUAUUAGUUUAGAGAGCAUUGGGAGAAUUAACUUAGAGACUCAGUAGGAGCUUUGUACAUUAUCGAGUAUUAGGCAACCACAGCUUAACUCCACAGUCCUAUUAUUAACUCUGAUGUUGGACUCGGUUUAAAGUGAAAGUAAGGUGGGGCGAUUCCAGGCUAGAGCAGGAUCAAAUCUGGGAAAGGCAAGGCUGGUAGCCAGGUCUAGGGGUAAAGGGAAGAAGUGAGCAAAAGGGGGGUCAGGGAGGGAGGAGGCAGGGAAGGGAGGUUUGGAACCAAGGUCAGUUGAAGUUGUUCCACAAUUGUGCUAAGUGUUGCUCUUCCUCUGAAUCCUUUGCUGGGUGUAAUGACUGCUGUGAUAGAUGUGAAACCCGCUAAUGACCCAGCUUUUAAGCCUUCGUAAGGGUUUUGCAGAAAGUCCCUCUAUCCAGAGACCUCACGUCUGAGGCCGAACAAAGAAGGGAAGGGGGAAUUAUUCAGAUGUACAGGACACAUGGGGUUAAGCUACACCCAUGAUUGGUUGCCUGUGUCAUCCCAUUUUUGAGGCUGCUCUUGGUUCCCUUAAUUAUCUCCUUCAAAAAAAGCACUUUGAACAAAAAAAAACAAUCACCGUCAGUUGGCUUUUCCAGUUGUGCUUCAGAGGUGCGUUUGUGUCGUUUGCUCUGGGCCUGAAAUUGUUCCUCAGAUUGUCUCCCUGAAGGAGUUUACAGACAUUGUACAAAGAAAUUAAUUAAGUAGAUUUUCCAUUUGCACAGUUUUAAUGAAUAAAUGAUGUUCCUAUUUGUUUAUCGGCUUUCUAAUUAUAACACAGUUCAAAACAUCUUGGUUUCCUGAAUUCCAACAAUGUUAUUGUCAUGGUGCUGUUAUUGCUGCUCUCACUGUGCAGGUAACAUUAUUUUUUUUUUUUUAGAUAGAUGCCAGGUGCUGUAUUCCAUAUUUAUUAUUAAAGUGUGAUCUGCAUAUUUUUCUCUUUUCAUGUAGCACUUAUCUGUAUAAGAGUCGAAAAUUAAAUGUAAUGCUUUCCUUUAAAGGGCCUGGAAGGAUUUCACCUCUGGGGAUUUGUAGUCUGGUGGGGGAAUUAAGGCUGGCCGACAUAAUUCAAGAUCCACAGAAGGAGGCUUGGGCCAGGGGCCCAGCCAGCAGGACCAAACCACUCUGCUCCAAGCAGCCACCAGGCCAUGAACUUGGCAGGAGGAUGGGUAGGUGGAAUCCUGGCAGGAAGGCAAAUGUCAGAAGCUCAAAGGCCAGCAGGUCAGGAACUCCAGAAAAGCAGCACAGAGGGAAGAGGACUCUAGAUCGGUGGCAGAGUCUUCUUCCUCUGUCCUAAAGGGUUGAGAUGGGCAGUCUGGAGAUCACAGGUGUCUGGGAUCGGCAAGGUUUGGAGGUCUGCAAAGGAACUCUGCAUUGACUGAGGUGUGGCCAAGGGUACCUGUCUCUCUCUCUCCACCCUGUCAGGAGGCAGAGCAGCAUCACUCUCUCUUUGCCCUUGACCAAGGGAGAGCCAUGGUCUGUAAAUCUGUCCUGACCUCAGAUAGGCAUUUGGGGACCAUCAAGUUUAACAACUUAUCAUGAGCCUUCCGUGAUGUGUCACCCAGGGGACCAGUACUAUAGGAACAUGCUUUUUCCCUCCCAGAGGUUAUAGUCUAGAGCCUAGAAACUGCUUUGGAAGACUUCUGGCCCUGACAUCACCUUUCAGCCUGGUGGAGUGUGCACCUAGUCUGUACCUGUUCAGAUACUGUGAACAUUAUCACUUUUGGAGUAUGGAGGCCACACUCCUCUUCCCCUUGUGCACCCCCCAUGACUCCACGGUGAAGAGAGGUAGCAUAGAAUAUAGCACUGUCAAUCUGAUUUUUUCUUUUUUGGCCACCCUGUGGCAUAUGGAGUUCCAGGGCCAGGGGUCAGAUCCAAGCUGCAGUUGUGAUCUGAUCUCAGCUGCAGUUGUGAUCUGAUCUCAGCAACCCUGGACCCUUAUCCCACCAUGCCAGGGAUCAAACCUGCGUUCCAGUGCUCCAGAGAUGCCACCAAUCCUUAGAAAACCUGAAUCUGAAUGACUUCCUGGCUUACUAUCCAUCCAUUUUAUGAACAUUAAAGUCCUUACAGUUGGACUGCUUAGGUUCAAGUUCAGGUUCCAUGGUUGGACCAUCUGUACAGUGCUUCACUUGCUCAUCCUUGGUUUUCUCAUCUGUGAAGUGAAGGGGAUAAAUGAAAUAAUACAUGUGAAACUUUAAUUGGGUAUUAAAGUUAUUAGCUAAUAUCGUCAUUAGAGAGCAAUGCAUGUUUGCUUAAUAAAUAUAUUCUAAAUUCUGAUAGAAAUACAAAAAUGUGUCCAUUUUCUUUUUGCCUCUCUUCUCCCCCACUGGCAUAGUAGCCCCUGCUCCUCAAUUUCCUUGUCGUGUACUUAGGGGUAAUGGGACGGCAUGCUUGCUUCCCAGGAGCACCAAGAAGAUGGAUGUUUAUGUUUAUAAAGUUGCUCUGAGCGACCUGAGGAAAAUUGCAAGUGAAAAGUAUUGUUCUCAUCAUGAUUAUUAAUUGAUCUCCCAACCACUCACCGGUUGGAAUAUGACUGAUCCAUAGACUCUGGAGGAAGAUUUAUCACUUGCCUCCCCAAACCUGUGGAUGUGCCUUUCAUUAAAUGCAAUUAUCUCUCAGCAAAUGCACACAUCUCAAGUCCACCGCCUCUUACUCAAUGAAAUCAUUAAACCUCUUUACAGCGAGGAGCCGUCAAAAGCCACCUGAUGAAAAAUGGGUAUAGCUUGGUACUUAGGUUUCAUUAUACAAUAUCUACUCUUGGAGAGUUUCAAGGAUGUUGUUCUGUUGUCUCUGCUUUCUUGUCUUUUUUUUUUUUUUUUUUGGCUUUUAUUUUUUUAAACCCUGCUUUCCCUCCCUUGUUACUCUUUUAGGCUGUAUAGAAUACAAGUGUAGAGAUUUCUCUGUGUCUCUUCUCAGCACUACAGCACAGGCAGGAUUCUGCCUUGGGAAGGGGUGGGCAUAUUUGAGAGGAGGGUGGCAGAAUUGGCCACAUGUAGGGAUCACUCUGUAGAGCUUUUCCUUCUCGGAAUCUCUACCAUGAGAGAGAAUCCCUGAAGGAUUAUGAAUCUUUGUUUCCUAGAAUCCGCAAUUCAACACCUAAUUCAAUUUCCUUGGAGGGAUGGUCAGAGCCCUUUUUCAUUAGCUGUAAACAGACUUAGCAAGGAGAAGCUGACGUAUAAGAUGAGUAAAUUUCAAGGGCGGGAGAAAGAGGGGUGAGGGAGAGAUAAACCACAAAGAGGGGAAACCUCAGGGCCCACUGGGAAGGAAGGAGGGGUACUGAAGGAAGGAAAGAAGCCCCCUUCCAGGAAUAAAAUGUGCUUCUCCUGAGUUAGCCUCUGGCCAGUCUUGAUGGGUCUGGGGCAGGUGGCAUAAACCACAAGUAAAGAGCAGGUUCCAUGGCCUGAGUUCCACCAGCAAGAGAAGAUUUGAGGAUGCUCUGGAAGGCCUCAGAAUCAGGAACAAAAGUACCAUUAACAGAGGAGAAGGCAGAAAAUGGGGUCAGGGAGGAGAAAAGUGAAAGGAACAUCUGGGGGCGUCAAGAAAUGUAGACUCUCUGAGUUCCUGUCGUGGCUCAGCGGAAACAAAUCUGACUAGUAUCCAUGAGGAUGAAGGUUUGAUCCCUGGCUUUGCUCAAUGAGUUAAGGAUCCAACAUUAAUCCUAAACUGUGGUGUAGGUCACAGACAUGGCUUGGAUCUGGCAUUGCUGUGGCUGUGGGGUAGGCAGGCAGCUAUAGCUUCGUUUUGACCCCUAGCUUGGGAACCUCCAUAUGCCACAGGUAUGGCCUUAAAAAGACGAAAAGGAAGGAAAGAAGGAAGGAAGGAAGACUCUUGAUUACAAGUCUGUGGGAUACCCUGUGUAUCUGGUAUACUGUCCUGUGUGACCAUGAUGGUAGAGGCACAGAGCACUACUGGAUGGUCCCUCAGCUGCCUCGUCAAGAUCAACUACAAGAAUUCCCUGGGGAGUUCCCAUCGUGGCGCAGUGGUUAACGAAUCCGACUAGGAACCAUGAGGUUGCGGGUUCGGUCCCUGCCCUUGCUCAGUGCGUUAACGAUCCGGCGUUGCCGUGAGCUGUGGUGUAGGUUGCAGACACGGCUCGGAUCCCGCGUUGCUGUGGCUCUGGCGUAGGCCGGUGGCUACAGCUCCGAUUCAACCCCUAGCCUGGGAACCUCCAUAUGCCGCGGGAGCGGCCCAAGAAAUAGCAACAACAACAACAACAACAA